This 84-nucleotide transfer RNA is filed under the name Parcubacteria group bacterium CG_4_10_14_0_8_um_filter_35_7. Its description in RNAcentral is "tRNA-Leu". It matches the Rfam family "tRNA". Rfam says of the family: Transfer RNA (tRNA) molecules are approximately 80 nucleotides in length. RNAcentral also lists the same sequence under 1 other name. The record is from RNAcentral.
GCCCAGGUGGUGGAAUUGGUAUACACACAAGCUUGAGGAGCUUGGGUCCUUUGGACCGUGCGGGUUCAAGUCCCGCCCUGGGCA